Molecule: long non-coding RNA, 1386 nt
Organism: Varroa destructor (honeybee mite)
Lineage: Eukaryota; Metazoa; Arthropoda; Arachnida; Mesostigmata; Varroidae
Source: RefSeq, a predicted model, not a curated record
CCUCAUGUAUGAGCCCAUUCGCACAGCAACAAAUUAAAUCGGUACGAAUAUGCCACACACGUGCACAGAUGCCCAGAAAUAACGAAGGAAGCGACGAGGUCAAGAGAGACCGAAACAACGAUCCUAGUUUUCUACCCAGAAGGACACAACAAGUUCCUCCAGCUUUUUAAGUUCGAACAACAGCCGACCGAACGUGUUGAUUGAAAUGACCUAAUACCAUUGAAACUGAAGUCUCCCAAAAACCCUAUCCUUGUUGAAAGUGUACAUCUUUUUUUACGCGACGUAUGGAGGCCCAUGUGCCCGCCUGCUGCGUUUCUGUCUGCGACAGAAAAAGCGUUGGUUAGUCAUGAUGUUGCUACUUGUAAGGCCGCUAUCACCAGUCAGAGAAACAGUUUCAAGGGUAAAAGGAAGAAAGACACUCGAUGGAUUCAGUGGCAGCAUAUUUGUUUGACAAACAUGGGAUACAAUUUGUCGUGCUGGAAGAGGUCAGCCGCCUGAUGCGAUGCUUAAAGGCCGUACUCGACGUGUACGUCACAACAUUUAGCGACAAGGUGCAGCUUUCAACCGGUAAUAUGCAGGGCAAAUACCACUAUUGACUUUGCCGCUGGUGAUCCUAGCCAUUCUUGAUCUUAAAGGCGAGACGUACCAUUUGCGGUAUAAGCAAAUGCAUAAAGGACUCGGAGGCUUGUCAGUGGCUAAAUCUAAGUUGAACAGUGUGCGUACAAAGGCUGAACGUCUAUUGUAAAAUAAUAUUUGUUAAAGGUCGGGUAAAAUGGGGCCCUGCAACAUGAACAGAGUACGGCUACUGGAAACUCGUUAAGCGUUUUUUUCUUUUCGUGAUUAUGGCUUAAAAAAAUAUGCUAAACGAGUAAAGAAAAUAAAGAAAGGUACUCUAAUGGUUUUUAGUUCGCGCGCCGUAGAGCUUUUCGGUUAACCCCGACUGUAGUAGGAAAUGGUUUGCUAGUCGAUGCCAUUAACAAACUGUUGAUCCAUCAAGGAAAUGUCUAUCUGGUUUUCCCUUGGGUAAUCGCUCAGACGGCGCACCGAUGCUGUUUCCCGAGAAAAUCUGGAAUAAUUCGAGCACCAGUUUCGAGAGCAGCUAACGCGUGGGUGCUGUAAUAAUGCUACUUCUACUAAUAGUGACAAGUAAGGUCACGAACUUCGGUAGUAGCCCUGUCACUGCCACGUCUAUCCUGUCGUCCGUUGCCGUACUUGUCAAUGACUGUUUAUGGCAAAGCCAGGCGUAGGACAUACACAGUUGCACGGAAGAGCGAGCAAAAUAUUGCACACUGUGACGUCUCAUCUAAAAGGAGCAUCACGCACAAUGGGACUGUCGAAUCGGGCAGUCAAGAGGCGGCAAGGAAAACCACUGCAUGUUAUAAGCUG